UACGUAGGGUCCAAGCGUUGUCCGGAUUUAUUGGGCGUAAAGAGCUCGUAGGUGGUUCAGUAAGUCGGAUGUGAAAACUCGGGGCUCAACCCCGAGACGCCAUCCGAUACUGCUGUGACUUGAGUCUGGUAGGGGAGAUCGGAAUUCCUGGUGUAGCGGUGAAAUGCGCAGAUAUCAGGAGGAACACCGGUGGCGAAGGCGGAUCUCUGGGCCAGUACUGACACUGAGGAGCGAAAGCGUGGGUAGCAAACAGG
This 254-nucleotide ribosomal RNA is filed under the name uncultured bacterium. Its description in RNAcentral is "partial 16S ribosomal RNA". It matches the Rfam family "Bacterial small subunit ribosomal RNA", at positions 524 to 776 of the family's 1533-position model. RNAcentral also lists the same sequence under 2 other names. The record is from RNAcentral.